RNAcentral lists this ribosomal RNA (670 nucleotides) under uncultured bacterium. RNAcentral's name for it is "bacterial SSU rRNA". It matches the Rfam family "Bacterial small subunit ribosomal RNA", at positions 100 to 766 of the family's 1533-position model. The record is from RNAcentral.
GAACGGGUGAGUAAUAUAUCGGAACGUACCCAAGAGUGGGGGAUAACGUAGCGAAAGUUACGCUAAUACCGCAUACGAUCUAAGGAUGAAAGCAGGGGACCGCAAGGCCUUGUGCUCCUGGAGCGGCCGAUAUCUGAUUAGCUAGUUGGUGAGGUAAAGGCUCACCAAGGCGACGAUCAGUAGCUGGUCUGAGAGGACGACCAGCCACACUGGAACUGAGACACGGUCCAGACUCCUACGGGAGGCAGCAGUGGGGAAUUUUGGACAAUGGGCGCAAGCCUGAUCCAGCAAUGCCGCGUGAGUGAAGAAGGCCUUCGGGUUGUAAAGCUCUUUUGUCAGGGAAGAAACGGGCGUGGCUAAUAUCCGCGCCUAAUGACGGUACCUGAAGAAUAAGCACCGGCUAACUACGUGCCAGCAGCCGCGGUAAUACGUAGGGUGCAAGCGUUAAUCGGAAUUACUGGGCGUAAAGCGUGCGCAGGCGGUUUUGUAAGUCUGUCGUGAAAUCCCCGGGCUCAACCUGGGAAUUGCGAUGGAGACUGCAAGGCUAGAAUCUGGCAGAGGGGGGUAGAAUUCCACGUGUAGCAGUGAAAUGCGUAGAGAUGUGGAGGAACACCGAUGGCGAAGGCAGCCCCCUGGGUCAAGAUUGACGCUCAUGCACGAAAGCGUGGGG